RNAcentral lists this ribosomal RNA (247 nucleotides) under uncultured bacterium. RNAcentral's name for it is "partial 16S ribosomal RNA". It matches the Rfam family "Bacterial small subunit ribosomal RNA", at positions 524 to 776 of the family's 1533-position model. The record is from RNAcentral.
UACGAGGGGGCAAGCGUUGUUCGGAAUUAUUGGGCGUAAAGGGCGCGUAGGCGGUGCGGUAAGUCACCUGUGAACCUCUAGGCUCAACCUAGAGCCUGCAGGCGAACUGCCGUGCUUGAGGGUGGAGAGGUGCGUGGAAUUCCGGUGUAGCGGUGAAAUGCGUAGAUAUCGGAGGAACACCUGUGGCGAAAGCGGCGCACUGGACCACAUCUGACGCUGAGGCGCGAAAGCUAGGGGAGCAAACAGG